UAAAAUUUAUAUUUUUAAUUAUAUUUUAUUUGUUAAUAAAUAAAUUUAUAUUAUAUGAUAAUAAAUUAAAUAAAAAAAAAUCCUCUAAAAAAAUCCGUUCCAUCCCCAAACUCAUCUGUGUCAAGUACGAGAAACGAUAUCUAUCUCCGACCUACCUAUAGCCAUUCCUAUAUUGUAUUGCAUCAAAAUUUUUAGCAGAAACUCAAUAUAGCUCCAAAAAGCCUACUAGUGGUACAGUCUUGUGCUUAAUCUAGCCGAUAGCAUCUGUGGAGUGCCUUCUACGUUUCAUAAGCGGACAAAAGGCACAUAGGGAAUAAAUUGCCAAACUUCCCUGCAAAGCAUUCCCAUGGCCAUCAUCAUGAAAUUAUACUAUCAAGCUGUUUUACAAAUGCAUCUUUUUUUCCCCUUCCAUAUGCACUUUCAAUAGUUUUUGGAUGAAGUAGCAUGCAUAGAUAAGAUGAAAUUUGCAAUCCAACAGCCUUUUCAACUAAAACCAGUUUUAGUUUUAAAAUUAAACUCUUGUUAGAUUACGCUUCAAUUUAAUUUUUUUUUAUUUUUUUUAUCAUAUCUUAAUCUUUUUAUAUUAAAUUUCGCGUGUACAUACAUGCUUCUUUCUCUUGGAAAUUAGAGCACUGAGAUAAAAAGAGAAAUGAGGCAGAAAUGUAGUGGGAGAAAACAAAGGUCUUUUAUUCUAAUACUGUUUCACACCAAGUUGAGAGUACAAACAUGUCACUUUAAUCGACUAGGAGGUCGAUUAAUUCCAUAAACAGCACAUGUGGUCGCUAGACCACUGGCUACAUUAAUUAAAAUGCCUUUGAAUACAAACAUGAAUGCUGUCACUCCAUUUCACAGUCCACCCUAAUGGUACUUCAUCUUACAAGGAACAUGAAUUUUACGACUGAUCACUAGCUAAUAUGGUGGUGUUAAUUAACUUAACACUAGGAAAACAAAGUCAAAUUAAGUUAUAGGUUUUUAAUUUUUAUUAUGUACAGAAACUUAAUUAUAUCAUAAUAUUUUCCCUUUAAUUACCUCAUCAUUCUAUGAUCAGUGUAUAUACUGUUGCAUAUUUUAUUAGAAAGGACAUCUGUCACUUCCAUAACUCAAUUUGACAACCAGAGGUCGACGUCGAAGCAUUUUCCGGCGUGGUUUCUUGCUUGCUCAAGUGUCUAGCAAGCAUAUUUGUCUGAUCUGAUGAGUGGAAGAUGUUGUUGGUUGCAUUUGAGUAGGUAUUAUUUUCUUUAGGCAAGUCAUCUUGGCUUAGUUGAGAAGCAACAAACUUGUCUAGCACUCUCCAAUCCGUCACUGGAUCAACUGCUUGCCCAUUAUUAUUUUGGUGACCAUAGAGGGAAUGCAAGCUUUGGUCACGUGUUUGUUCUUCCUGUGAAAGAGAUGAGGAUUGCAGAGUGCUUGCCUGGUUUAUGUCUAGUCCAUAGACAGUGGCAGCUUUCAGCAGUUUAGGGCUUUGUAGAAGUGGCAGUUGAAGGAAGUGAUCAUGGCUGCUGGCAACCUGAUUAUGAUACUGCAAAUCCAACUCUUUCUUGCACGAGUAAGAGAGGUGAUAGGCCAACUCAGGCUGUGAGUUUUGAUUUGGCGAAUCCUCCUCAUGCAUGAAAGAAACCUGGUCAUCAUACCAGCUGCUUGAUUCAUGCUCGCUCGCUUUCCGGACAGUUGUUAUUCUCUUCUUGAACACCCUGCACACAACCCAACCUUCUUCCUGUUUCAAGUACACAAAAAUUCAUCAAUGUAAAGAAAUUCUCAGUGGGAAGGGCUUCGAUCAAUAAAAAUUGCUAUUAAGUGUACCAACUAAGCUGUUCCAUUUGCAUUUGAUAUUCAGCUUCACAUUGCAAUACGUAGGAUGUUGGUUUCUUGAAGUAAAUGGGUAUUUUAAUUGAAAACAAAGAAAUUUAAAUAACUAAUCUGACUAUACUUGCCUGAUGAGCAGUCCCAUUUUCAUCCGUUUCAAGGCGGUACUCGUGCAUAAUCCAGUCUGAUUUCUGUCCGUUUGGAGCACGACCUUUGUAAAAGACUAAGGUCUUCCUCAUUCCAAUCAAGUCAUGCUUGGAAUAGAUUGCUUUGUCUCUACCUGUUGCCUUCCAAAAUCCAGCUGCAGUGGCUCUAUUGGUGCGAGUUCCAGUUGGAUACUUCUUGUCUUUAUGGCUAAAAAAGUACCAUUCGUUUUGAUCUUCUGUCCCUAUUCGGCAUAUUUCUUGAAGGUCCCAUGGCUCGAUUUUAUAGAGGUCGACAUCUUUAAUGACAUCUAGGUCAAUCCUUCUUGAAUUAACUUUUUUCCUGAGGUAGUAAUCAACUAGUUCUUCAUCGGUGGGAUGGAACCGGAAACCGGGAGGAACAUGUGAAAAAGUGUUCAUGUCUCCUGCUGCUGAAUCUUGAUUCAGAUCAAGCAAAACCAAGAUCUCAAGACUUUGCAAACCACAGAUCUAGGUUGAUUGAAUCUUCCCUGAGUAGAAGAAUCUAAACCCUUGACUCCAAAAAUAGAAUGAUGAGCUAAACUAGGUGCAGCUCUAAUUGACUCCAGGUAUACACUACUGGAAGCUCCUAUAUCAAACAAGAAAAUGAAAAGUAAUUGUAAGGAAAUUUCCUCGGGAAUUGAACCCGAUUGCUUUUUGCCCUCCCACAGAAACUGUUUUCUGUCCAAUUGUCGGAUCAGAUCCCCAUGAAGAGAAUAGAAGGAAAGGAAAAGCCGAGAAGAAGAAAGGAGAACAAGUAGGGUUAUAUAAGGAGGGAAAGCAGGAGAGAGAGAGGGAGGAAAAUAAACAAAACAAAACAAAACAAAACUCUCAUAGCUCUCACCUUAGCUGGUAGUUUAGGACGCGUGUAUUUUUACGUGUGUGUA
RNAcentral lists this unclassified non-coding RNA (2851 nucleotides) under Hevea brasiliensis (rubber tree). The record is from RNAcentral. Lineage: Eukaryota; Viridiplantae; Streptophyta; Magnoliopsida; Malpighiales; Euphorbiaceae.